This 45-nucleotide non-coding RNA is filed under the name Schistosoma margrebowiei. The record is from RNAcentral. Lineage: Eukaryota; Metazoa; Platyhelminthes; Trematoda; Strigeidida; Schistosomatidae.
ACCCAGCUGACGAGUCCUAGAAAGGACGAAACACGUGUCCUGGAU